Onychomys torridus (southern grasshopper mouse) is the source of this 923-nucleotide RNA transcript. It is a transcript of the gene named MICAL-like protein 1, with no coding region annotated. The record is from RefSeq and is a predicted model, not a curated record. The transcript has 2 exons. NCBI's taxonomy places the organism in Eukaryota, Metazoa, Chordata, Mammalia, Rodentia, Cricetidae.
GACACCGGGACGAUGGGGCCCAGGCUGGCACGGGCCACCUCGUCACCGCUAACUUCCAGGGAUGUCCAGAAGCGGAACUUACAGCCAGACACCAACCCCCGUGGGUGGGAAGCGGCAAAGCAAACCCGCAAAAAACCUACUACGACACCAGGUCCACUUCCGCCUGGCAGCGCCAGCGGCGAUCCAAGAUGGAGAAAAGAGGCGCAGGCCUUCCGCACCAACGCCCUUCUAGUGCGCAGGCGCGCGCCGAGGCCCCGCCCCUCGCGCUCCCGCCAAGACCCGGCGCGCGCGUCGGAAGUCAGAGACUUCAAGGCGCCGCCUUGCUCUUCCGCCCCGAGGCCCCGCGUUCCCAGGCCGGUUCCGGUUGCAGCCCCGCCCCCGCGCGGGAACACGCCAGAAGGCUUGAUAUCCGGAACGGGAGGCUGGCUCAAGCGCGCACUUCCGGUGGUGCCUCUUCCCAUCUCCCUUGAGGCCCAAGCUCUGGCUCUCGGUGCGGCAGCGCCACCUGGCGCCGAGUGUUCCUCCGCCCGCGGAGGGGCGCGCUUCCUCACUUCGGAACCUUCCAGAGACGCCGCGGCCCGGGUAGGCUUUACGCAUUCCGCUAGAAGGGCGGGACCUAAGACUCCGCCCCCGCCGAGUUCCCGCCCGGGAAGGGUUUUGCGGUUACUCUGAACGGAAACAGUUGGAGUCCUGAUGUGGAAUGGACCUCAAGCGGCAGGAAGUCGGUUUUUUUCCCGCGAAAUGAAGCCCUUAGUAACACAGUUCCGGUUCCCUUUUGUUCUGCUUUCUGGUUCCACGUUUCUGGGCCGCAGUCUCUGGACAUUGUGCUUCAGUUCCCUCUGAAUGGCCUGAGAGCCUCCAUUUUUCGUUUCGUGGAGAGAUGGCUCUACUUCGUAGCCUCGAUCAAGAUGUAGCCAGCACCA